RNAcentral lists this ribosomal RNA (468 nucleotides) under uncultured bacterium. Its description in RNAcentral is "bacterial SSU rRNA". It matches the Rfam family "Bacterial small subunit ribosomal RNA", at positions 917 to 1382 of the family's 1533-position model. The record is from RNAcentral.
GGACCCGCACAAGCAGCGGAGCAUGUGGUUUAAUUCGAAGCAACGCGAAGAACCUUACCAAGGCUUGACAUCCCCUUGACAGGUGCAGAGAUGUACCCUCCUCUUCGGAGGCAAGGGUGACAGGUGGUGCAUGGUUGUCGUCAGCUCGUGUCGUGAGAUGUUGGGUUAAGUCCCGCAACGAGCGCAACCCUUAUCCUUAGUUGCCAUCAGGAAAAGCUGGGCACUCUAAGGAGACUGCCGGUGAUAAACCGGAGGAAGGUGGGGAUGACGUCAAAUCAUCAUGCCCCUUAUGUCUUGGGCUACACACGUGCUACAAUGGUCGGAACAAAGGGGAGCUAAGGAGUGAUCCGGAGCAAAUCCCAAUAAACCGAUCCCAGUUCGGAUUGUAGGCUGCAACUCGCCUACAUGAAGUCGGAGUUGCUAGUAAUCGCGAAUCAGAACGUCGCGGUGAAUGCGUUCCCGGGUCUU